ACACUCCUACGGGAGGCAGCAGUGGGGAAUUUUGGACAAUGGGCGCAAGCCUGAUCCAGCCAUGCCGCGUGCGGGAAGAAGGCCUUCGGGUUGUAAACCGCUUUUGUCAGGGAAGAAAAGGUUCUGGCUAAUACCUGGGACUCAUGACGGUACCUGAAGAAUAAGCACCGGCUAACUACGUGCCAGCAGCCGCGGUAAUACGUAGGGUGCAAGCGUUAAUCGGAAUUACUGGGCGUAAAGCGUGCGCAGGCGGUUAUGCAAGACAGAGGUGAAAUCCCCGGGCUCAACCUGGGAACUGCCUUUGUGACUGCAUGGCUAGAGUACGGUAGAGGGGGAUGGAAUUCCGCGUGUAGCAGUGAAAUGCGUAGAUAUGCGGAGGAACACCGAUGGCGAAGGCAAUCCCCUGGACCUGUACUGACGCUCAUGCACGAAAGCGUGGGGAGCAAACAGGAUUAGAUACCCCGGUAGUCCC
This 472-nucleotide ribosomal RNA is filed under the name uncultured organism. Its description in RNAcentral is "partial 16S ribosomal RNA". It matches the Rfam family "Bacterial small subunit ribosomal RNA", at positions 333 to 797 of the family's 1533-position model. The record is from RNAcentral.